This 253-nucleotide ribosomal RNA is filed under the name uncultured bacterium. RNAcentral's name for it is "partial 16S ribosomal RNA". It matches the Rfam family "Bacterial small subunit ribosomal RNA", at positions 524 to 776 of the family's 1533-position model. The record is from RNAcentral.
GACGUAGGGGGCCAGCGUUGCUCGGAAUUACUGGGUGUAAAGGGUUCGUAGGCGGUGUGGCAAGUCGGGAGUGAAAUCUCUGGGCUCAACCCAGAGUCUGCUUCCGAAACUGCUGUGCUUGAGUGUGGGAGAGGCGCGUGGAAUUCCACGUGUAGCAGUGAAAUGCGUAGAGAUGUGGAGGAAUACCGAUGGCGAAGGCAGCCCCCUGGGCCAAUACUGACGCUCAUGCACGAAAGCGUGGGGAGCAAACAGG